AUCUUUGAACGCACCUUGCGCUCCUUGGUAUUCCGAGGAGCAUGCCUGUUUGAGUGUCAUUAAUAUCUAUAUCAAUCUCUCCUUCUCUUGUGUAGGAGUGGUUUGGAUUUGGGGGGUUUUGCUGGCCUCUUAAAAAAGGUUCAGCUCCCCUGAAAUGCAUUAGCAGAACAAUCCUUGUUCAUUGGCGUGAUAACUAUCUAUGCUAUUGAAUGUGAGGUGCAGUUCAGCUUUCUAACAGUCCUUUGGACAAAUUCAUCAUUAAUGUGACCUCAAAUCAGGUAGGACUACCCGCUGAACUUAAGCAUAUCAAUAAGCGGAGG
Molecule: ribosomal RNA, 320 nt
Filed under: uncultured Cortinarius
Lineage: Eukaryota; Fungi; Basidiomycota; Agaricomycetes; Agaricales; Cortinariaceae
Description: eukaryotic LSU rRNA
Rfam family: Eukaryotic large subunit ribosomal RNA (bases 265-320)
Source: RNAcentral